GACGGAGGAUGCACGCGUUAUCCGGCAUUAUUGGGCGUAAAGCGUCCGUAGGCGGUUUCAAAAGUCUGUUGUUAAAGCCCACAGCUCAACUGUGGCUCGGCAAUGGAAACUGUGAGACUAGAGAGUGGUAGGGGUAGAGGGAAUUCCUAGUGUAGCGGUGAAAUGCGUAGAGAUCGGAAGGAACGUCAAUGGCGAAGGCAGCCACCUGGCAUAAUACUGACGCUGAGGCGCGAAAGCGUGGGGAGCAAACAGG
RNAcentral lists this ribosomal RNA (253 nucleotides) under uncultured bacterium. RNAcentral's name for it is "partial 16S ribosomal RNA". It matches the Rfam family "Bacterial small subunit ribosomal RNA", at positions 524 to 776 of the family's 1533-position model. The record is from RNAcentral.